UACGUAGGGGCGAGCGUUGUCCGGAAUGAUUGGGCGUAAAGGGCGCGUAGGCGGCUUUGCAAGUCAGUAGUGGAAGUCCAUUUUUCAAGGAUGGAAGUGCUACAGAAACUGCGGAGCUUGAGUGCAGGAGAGGUUAUCGGAAUUCCCGGUGUAGCGGUGAAAUGCGUAGAGAUCGGGAGGAACACCAGUGGCGAAGGCGGGUAACUGGACUGCAACUGACGCUGAGGAGCGAAAGUGUGGGGAGCAAACGGAUUAGAUACCCCCGGUAGU
RNAcentral lists this ribosomal RNA (270 nucleotides) under uncultured prokaryote. RNAcentral's name for it is "partial 16S ribosomal RNA". It matches the Rfam family "Bacterial small subunit ribosomal RNA", at positions 524 to 794 of the family's 1533-position model. The record is from RNAcentral.